GCAGUGACCUUUAUUGAUGAGAGGGGCAGAGGAAGAAAAUGAAAAGAAGAAGGAAAAGGUGAAGAAAGACACUAAGAGGAAAAGUAACUGCUAAUCAAACCAAGAACUCCUGGCUAAAGGGUAAUCCUGUGACCUCCAAAUGUGUCAUUUGUUAUUUUGACAGCUCCUCUUGAGGUGAUAGACUAGAAGAAGCCACUAGCAUCAUCGUCAGCCAGCUGGGAGUUCCACCUCUUGCUUCCUUAAGACAUUAGUAACUGGAUAACCACAGACAUGCCUUUCAGAUCAUGUUUUAAAACCUUCCCCGUCUGGCGUUGGGAACGCAGCCGCGGCUUCGUGGUGGAUAGCAAGAGGCAAAGAAAUGUUCUCUGUGGACAAGUGGACAGGGAAUGGAGCCAACUUGGGACCCCAGCGGUGGAAGCCCAGGCACCCAAGCGCCUGGACCGGCAGGACACACCCUCUCAUGCGGUUUGGAGGUGGCCAUUGUGAGAAAGGUGGAAAAAGUCCUGGGAUCCAUAGGAAAUGAAUGGGUGAUACAUUUCCUCAGGAUCUGCCUGAUUGUUUUGCGAGUCUCAUUGGCUUUUGCAUCCCAUCGGCCCUGCGCGUAAUGUAUCCUUUCACAAAUGACAGCAAUAGGGUCAUCAGAGCCCAGCCCUGGCUCCUUCCUGCGGGAAGAUGGGGGCUUGUUGGAUGGCAGUGACUGGUCCAGCGGGCGAGUCCCCCAGACUGGGAACCGAAGCCUCUCGCGGGUCGUGUCAUCUGAGCAGAGAAGAACAGCUCACACACAGCUGUCAGGGCUCUUUUCCACCUGUGAUGUUCAUUCCAGGAUUCCCAGGUACCUCUUUACCGUGUGCCAAGCUCUCAGCUUGCCAGGGACACCAGGGUUGGUGAAUCACGCUGCCCUUGCCCUUGUGGGAUCAGAGAUGAAUCCUGCCGUCACCCCAUGAAUACUGAAUUACAGCCAGGGUGAGGACAAUGAGGACAGAGUACUGGGCACUGUGACACAGUGAAAUGGCAGGGCUGGGGUUGGGGGGGGGCCUCCAAGGUGGGGUCAUCUUUAUUUUAUAUAAAAUUUGAGAUUUUGCUCAUGGAUUUCUUUCGUGUCAAUUUUGAUUCUUUAAAAUAUUGCACUUAC
Hippopotamus amphibius kiboko is the source of this 1132-nucleotide long non-coding RNA. RefSeq lists it as uncharacterized. The record is from RefSeq and is a predicted model, not a curated record. Lineage: Eukaryota; Metazoa; Chordata; Mammalia; Artiodactyla; Hippopotamidae. The transcript has 3 exons.